Molecule: unclassified non-coding RNA, 22 nt
Filed under: Mus musculus (house mouse)
Lineage: Eukaryota; Metazoa; Chordata; Mammalia; Rodentia; Muridae
Description: oocyte_clustered_small_RNA9188
Source: RNAcentral
CACAGUACUACCUGAAGAACCA